Molecule: ribosomal RNA, 402 nt
Filed under: uncultured bacterium
Lineage: Bacteria
Description: bacterial SSU rRNA
Rfam family: Bacterial small subunit ribosomal RNA
Source: RNAcentral
GGGGAAUAUUGCACAAUGGGGGAAACCCUGAUGCAGCAACGCCGCGUGAGCGAAGAAGGCCUUCGGGUCGUAAAGCUCUGUCCUAAGGGAAGAAGUUAGUGACGGUACCUUAGGAGGAAGCCCCGGCUAACUACGUGCCAGCAGCCGCGGUAAUACGUAGGGGGCGAGCGUUAUCCGGAAUCACUGGGCGUAAAGGGUGCGUAGGCGGCCAACAAAGUCUGGGGUGAAAGGCUACGGCUUAACCGUAGUAAGCCUUGGAAACUUGAUGGCUUGAGUGCAGGAGAGGAGAGUGGAAUUCCUAGUGUAGCGGUGAAAUGCGUAGAUAUUAGGAGGAACACCAGUGGCGAAGGCGACUCUCUGGACUGUAACUGACGCUGAGGCACGAAAGCGUGGGGAGCAAAC